AAGAAAAGCUACAAUUGGUCGUCCACGUAUCAGAUUCAAAGACUCGGCUGAAAAAAAAGAGAGUAAAGUACCGAAGAAAAGCACAAAAGCUCCCACAAGAAGAAAAAUACCCAUGCAGGAAUUUGAAAGCAUAGGUGCUGGUUCAGAAACACAACCGAAUAGUGAACAUGAUGUUCAAUUUGCUGAUGAUUUGACUCAAGGUGAUAUGACCCAGGGGGAUUUGGAUGGAACCUCAAGUUGACAAGGGGCAUGUUUU
Rosa rugosa (rugosa rose) is the source of this 256-nucleotide long non-coding RNA. RefSeq lists it as uncharacterized. Lineage: Eukaryota; Viridiplantae; Streptophyta; Magnoliopsida; Rosales; Rosaceae. The transcript is spliced from 3 exons. The record is from RefSeq and is a predicted model, not a curated record.